GGGAAGGGAAAUAAAAAGUCAAAGAAAAAUACUCAGUCAAUCAAUACAGGCAAUAUUCUUGCUACCAGAAGUAGAAGUAAAGAACAAAAGCAAAAGGUUUGUAAGGAAAGUGGAGGAGUCAAGCUUGUAAGAGGUAUCAGUCACAAACUAAAAUGCUUCUACACCAAUGCACAGAGUAUGAGAAAUAAAAAAGGAGAACUGGAGAUCCUAACACAGGAAGAUAAAUAUGAUGUCAUAGGCAUUACGGAAACCUGGUGGGAUAACGCACAUGAAUGGAACACGGAUAUCGAAGGCUACAACUUAUUUUUGCGAAACAGACUUAACAAAAGAGGAGGGGGUAUUGCACUGUAUGUUAAAAAAGCAUUUGUCUCCUCAGAUUCAGGUUUCAGAGAAUGGAAGCCCGGUAGAAUCUGUCUGGGUAAGAAUUCAAGGAGAGAACAACAGAAAGGACACCAUUGUAGGAGUUUAUUAUAGGCCCCCUGGACAAACAGAAGAUAUGGAUGCUCUCUUUCUAGAUCAGAUGGCUAAACUCUCAAGAAAGCAUGACAUAGUGCUUAUGGGAGAUUUUAACUAUCCAGACAUUUGUUGGGAAUCCCUCUCAGGCAAAAGUCACAAGUCUAAUAAGUUCUUAUCCUCUCUUGCUGACAACUUCAUCUACCAAAAGGUGGAGGAGAAAACAAGAGGACUGGCUAUCCUCAAUCUAAUUCUUACCAACAGAGAGGAAAUGGUUGAGGAAAUCAGAGUUUCUGGGACCUUAGGAGGCAGUGACCAUGCUAUCCUUAAAUUCUGGAUAAUAAGGGAAGGAAAGCCUGAGAGGACUCAGACUUCAAAGUUGGACUUCAGACGGGCGGAUUUUGAUGGACUCAGAAGGAGGGUAGGAAGGAUAAAAUGGUUGAAUGUACUAAAGGAUAGAAAUGUCCAAGAAGGAUGGGAUACUUUGCGAAAUGCAAUACUAGAAGCACAGUCUUUAACAAUUCCUCAAAGAAAGAAGAACGGGAAGCAUCUAAAGAGACCAGGGUGGAUAAACCCAAAACUUAAAAACUUGCUAAAGAGGAAAAAAGAAAUGUUCAAGAAAUGGAAGGAGG
This 1085-nucleotide long non-coding RNA is filed under the name Salvator merianae (Argentine black and white tegu). RNAcentral describes it as "lncRNA (ENSSMRG00000023686.1)". Lineage: Eukaryota; Metazoa; Chordata; Lepidosauria; Squamata; Teiidae. The record is from RNAcentral.